Molecule: ribosomal RNA, 402 nt
Filed under: uncultured bacterium
Lineage: Bacteria
Description: bacterial SSU rRNA
Rfam family: Bacterial small subunit ribosomal RNA
Source: RNAcentral
UUAGGAAUCUUGGACAAUGGGCGCAAGCCUGAUCCAGCCAUGCCGCGUGAGUGAUGAAGGCCUUAGGGUUGUAAAGCUCUUUCAGCGGGGAAGAUAAUGACGGUACCCGCAGAAGAAGCCCCGGCUAACUUCGUGCCAGCAGCCGCGGUAAUACGAAGGGGGCUAGCGUUGCUCGGAAUCACUGGGCGUAAAGCGCACGUAGGCGGAUUGUUAAGUCAGGGGUGAAAUCCUGGAGCUCAACUCCAGAACUGCCUUUGAUACUGGCGAUCUCGAGUCCGGGAGAGGUGAGUGGAACUCCGAGUGUAGAGGUGAAAUUCGUAGAUAUUCGGAAGAACACCAGUGGCGAAGGCGGCUCACUGGCCCGGUACUGACGCUGAGGUGCGAAAGCGUGGGGAGCAAACA